GGACGGGGCCCGCACAAGCAGCGGAGCGUGUGGUUUUAAUUCGAUGUUACGCGAAAAAACCUUACCCGGGCUUGACAUGCAGGUAGUAGGGAACCGAGAGGGGACCGACUCUUCGGAGAGCCUGCACAGGUGCUGCAUGGCUGUCGUCAGCUCGUGCCGUGAGGUGUCCGGUUAAGUCCGGUAACGAGCGCAACCCUCGCCAUAUGUUACAAGUGUCAUAUGGGACUGCCGAUAUAAAGUCGGAGAAGUGGGGAUGACGUCAAGUCAGCAUGGCCUUUAUGUCCGGGGCUACACACACGCUACAAUGGCCGGUACAAUAGGUAGCAAGACCGCGAGGUGGAGCCAAUCCUUAAAGCCGGUCUCAGUUCAGAUUGCAGGCUGCAACCCGCCUGCAUGAAGUCGGAGUUGCUAGUAAUCGCGAAUCAGCAGGUCGCGGUGAAUACGUUCCCGGGCCUU
This 456-nucleotide ribosomal RNA is filed under the name uncultured Anaerolineaceae bacterium. Its description in RNAcentral is "bacterial SSU rRNA". It matches the Rfam family "Bacterial small subunit ribosomal RNA", at positions 916 to 1381 of the family's 1533-position model. The record is from RNAcentral. Lineage: Bacteria; Bacillati; Chloroflexota; Anaerolineae; Anaerolineales; Anaerolineaceae.